Molecule: ribosomal RNA, 282 nt
Filed under: uncultured prokaryote
Description: partial 16S ribosomal RNA
Rfam family: Bacterial small subunit ribosomal RNA
Source: RNAcentral
UACAGAGGUGGCGAGCGUUGUUCGGAUUUACUGGGCGUAAAGGGCGCGUAGGCGGCCCCGUGUGUCGUGUGUGAAAUCCCGGGGCUCAACCCCGGAACUGCAUUGGAAACUGCGCAGCUCGAGUAUCGGAGAGGUAAGCGGAAUUCCUAGUGUAGCGGUGAAAUGCGUAGAUAUUAGGAGGAACACCGGCGGCGAAGGCGGCUUACUGGACGAAGACUGACGUUGAGGCUCGAAAGCGUGGGGAGCAAACAGGAUUAGAUACCCGGGUAGUCCCUGAGCGGG